Molecule: long non-coding RNA, 1064 nt
Filed under: Monodelphis domestica (gray short-tailed opossum)
Lineage: Eukaryota; Metazoa; Chordata; Mammalia; Didelphimorphia; Didelphidae
Description: lncRNA (ENSMODG00000051386.1)
Source: RNAcentral
UUUCCUUUUCUUUUCCUUCAUCUUUCAUCUUAGAAUCAAUAUUGUGCAUUGGUUCUAAGGCAGUAGAGUGGUAAGGGAUAGGCAAUGGGGGGUUAAGUGACUUGCCCAGGGUCACAUAGAUGGGAAGUGUCUGAGACCAGACUUGAACCUAGGACCUCCCAUCUCUAAGAGGUCUGGCUCUCAAUCCACUGAGCCACCCAGCUGCCCCCUUGUCUAUUUUCUCACUGUGUUUUGCCCCCAGAGACAUAUUAAAUGCCAGUUUUUAAAAACUCAUGGGUCCCAGCUGUGUGACCUUGGGCAAGUCACUUGAACCCCACUGUCUAGCCCUGACCACUCUUCUGCCUUGGAACCAACACACAGCAUUGACUCCAAGACGAAAGGGGAGGAAAUCGAGAUCUAGAGAGAGGAUGAAUUUGUCCAAGGUCCUUCCUACAGGUGGUCUGCAACUAAGUGGGUCUUUGGAAUGAGGUUGUGAGCUUUUCUGAGGACACCCAAAAAGAGACAAGCCAUGCCUACAGAUUUGCAUUUCGUUAUCAAGGGAUCCUUGGAUCCUUAAGAGCCUGUUGGGCUAUUUAUAUCCAUGAGAUCACAUGCCAAACACUCUGCAUUCCUUUCCAUGCUGUGAAAUUAGAACAACCAACAUUGACCUUGGAGAAGAGAUGAGAAACUGAACCUUCUUCCUUUCUCUGGAGAAAUGGGAGACUAUGGAUUUGAAAGACGUUGGCAGACAUAGUUAAUGUAUGGUUUUUGGUUUUAUUCUUGGCUAUGUAAAAAUGGAGACUUGAAUCCAGGACUUCAAUCCCCAGAAGCCCUUGCUCCACUUCCCCAGAAUACCUUGUAACCUCACCUGGGCCAAGAGCAAGAUGGGGUACUUAACCUGGUUGUAAAAAGGCUCAGCCCUUCUUUCCUACUUCCACUUGGGAGCAGAUGCAGCUCUCCACCUAGCAGACAAGAUGUGAGUGGUUGUGAAUAGGCUCUUUGGGCCUAGACACGUGCCUCUCUUACUUGUAUUUUCUUUAUAUUUUAAUCUUCAAUAAACCUCUAAAAAUAUAAUACUCCUGGCA